UUUCUAUUGCACGGCACUUCCUUAUUUCUCCUUUUCCAUUCUUUCUUUUCCUUUUCUUUAUGUCUUUCUUCCUUCUACUCUCCCUCACACUCAUGCACACACUAACGCACAGAGAGUAAGAAAGAGAGGGAGAGAAAUACUGUGAAGGUGCCGAGAAAAGGAAGAAGAAAAAGAGAAAAGGAAAAAGAAGAAGAGAAGAAAGAAGGGGGGAAUCCGGCCAUAGGUGAUUUUUGAGUGGUUCAUCGCAAGACGUUGUCUAGGAAUCUAUAGUUGAGCUUGUUAUCCACAAAGCCAAGAUACUGAUGUUUUGGCUACAGGAUCAGCGGGCCUAGAGGAUGACCCCAUAGCACGGUAUUUGGGGUACUGCGACUGAGGCAUAUCGCUGGUGUCGUAGCUAUGUGGACUUGGGCGUCCUAUUUUGGUAGUCUUUUGUUGUUGGCUUGUGUCCUACGUGACACUUGUAUUUUGUAGAGCCAGUCUUUUGGUAUGUAAUUAAUGUUAAGUUUAAGCCUUAAACAUAUAGACGUAUUUAUGGCUCUUUAUAAUUAGCAGUUCUGUUAUAGAAGUGUUUUUCCGCUA
Alnus glutinosa is the source of this 579-nucleotide long non-coding RNA. RefSeq lists it as uncharacterized. Lineage: Eukaryota; Viridiplantae; Streptophyta; Magnoliopsida; Fagales; Betulaceae. The transcript has 3 exons. The record is from RefSeq and is a predicted model, not a curated record.